AUGGAGAAGAAGAAGGCGGCGGUGCCGCUUGUCUGCCACGGCCACUCGCGGCCGGUCGUCGACCUGUUCUACAGCCCCGUCACGCCCGACGGCUACUUCCUCAUCAGCGCCAGCAAGGACUCAAAUCCAAUGCUUCGUAAUGGUGAGACUGGAGAUUGGAUUGGGACUUUCGAAGGUCAUAAAGGUGCUGUUUGGAGCUGUUGCCUUGACACAAAUGCUCUGCGUGCUGCCUCUGGUUCUGCAGACUUUUCAGCUAAAGUAUGGGAUGCACUAACAGGCGAUGAACUACAUUCAUUUGAACACAAGCAUAUAGUCCGUGCAUGUGCCUUUUCUAAGGACACCCACCUGUUGCUUACUGGAGGUAUGGAAAAGAUUUUGCGUGUAUACGAUUUGAACAAACCAGAUGUUGCUCCGAAAGAACUUGACAAAUCACCUGGUUCUGUCCGAACUGUUGCUUGGCUUCAUAAUGACCAAACUAUACUGAGUUCCUGCACUGAUACGGGUGGAGUAAGGUUAUGGGAUGUGAGGAGUGAAAAAAUUGUCCAAACUCUUGAAACCAAGGGACCUGUUACCAGUGCAGAAGUAAGCCAGGAUGGCAGGUUCAUCACCACAGCUGAUGGCUCAAGUGUAAAGUUUUGGGAUGCUAAUCACUUUGGGCUUGUUAAAAGCUAUGAUAUGUCGUUUACUGUGGAGUCAGCUUCACUUGAACCAAAGUCCGGGAGCAAAUUCAUUGCUGGAGGAGAAGAUAUGUGGGUUCAUGUAUUUGAUUUCCUCACUGGUGAAGAAAUAACCUGUAACAAAGGGCAUCAUGGUCCAGUUCACUGCGUCCGGUUUGCACCUGGUGGCGAAUCAUACGCCUCAGGGUCGGAAGAUGGUACUAUUCGGAUCUGGCAACUGAGCCCAGCUAAUGCGGAUGCUGAGGAGGCGGUCGAUACAAAUGGUAAGCCGAAGGCUGGAGUAGAGGAGAUUGCAUGUAAGGUCGAAGGCUUCCAGAUUGCCAAGGAGGGGAAGGCCGAGGAGUAG
Molecule: ribosomal RNA, 1023 nt
Filed under: Triticum aestivum (bread wheat)
Lineage: Eukaryota; Viridiplantae; Streptophyta; Magnoliopsida; Poales; Poaceae
Description: partial small subunit ribosomal RNA
Source: RNAcentral